CCUACGGGUGGCAGCAGUGAGGAAUAUUGGUCAAUGGGCGCGAGCCUGAACCAGCCAAGUCGCGUGAGGGAUGACGGCCCUACGGGUUGUAAACCUCUUUUGCCGGGGAGCAACGGGCGCCACGUGUGGCGCCACUGAGAGUACCCGGAGAAAAAGCAUCGGCUAACUCCGUGCCAGCAGCCGCGGUAAUACGGAGGAUGCGAGCGUUAUCCGGAUUUAUUGGGUUUAAAGGGUGCGUAGGCGGAUUUUUAAGUCAGCGGUAAAAUGUCCGGGCUCAACCCGGGCCGGCCGUUGAAACUGGGGAUCUUGAGUGGGCGAGAAGUAUGCGGAAUGCGUGGUGUAGCGGUGAAAUGCAUAGAUAUCACGCAGAACUCCGAUUGCGAAGGCAGCUUACCAAGCUACUUCUGACGUUGAGGCACGAAAGCGUGGGGAGCAAACAGGAUUAGAUACCCGAGUAGUC
RNAcentral lists this ribosomal RNA (460 nucleotides) under uncultured bacterium. Its description in RNAcentral is "partial 16S ribosomal RNA". It matches the Rfam family "Bacterial small subunit ribosomal RNA", at positions 338 to 795 of the family's 1533-position model. The record is from RNAcentral.